UACGUAGGGCGCGAGCGUUGUCCGGAAUUAUUGGGCGUAAAGAGCUCGUAGGCGGUUUGUCGCGUCUGCCGUGAAAUCCUCUGGCUUAACUGGGGGCGUGCGGUGGGUACGGGCAGACUGGAGUGCGGUAGGGGAGACUGGAAUUCCUGGUGUAGCGGUGGAAUGCGCAGAUAUCAGGAGGAACACCGGUGGCGAAGGCGGGUCUCUGGGCCGUUACUGACGCUGAGGAGCGAAAGCAUGGGGAGCGAACAGGAUUAGAUACCCUGGUAGUCCAUGCCGUAAACGUUGGGAACUAGGUGUGGGGUCCAUUCCACGGAUUCUGCGCCGUAGCUAACGCAUUAAGUUCCCCGCCUGGGGAGUACGGCCGCAAGGCUAAA
This 377-nucleotide ribosomal RNA is filed under the name uncultured bacterium. RNAcentral describes it as "bacterial SSU rRNA". It matches the Rfam family "Bacterial small subunit ribosomal RNA", at positions 524 to 898 of the family's 1533-position model. The record is from RNAcentral.